Molecule: ribosomal RNA, 778 nt
Filed under: uncultured bacterium gp3
Lineage: Bacteria
Description: bacterial SSU rRNA
Rfam family: Bacterial small subunit ribosomal RNA
Source: RNAcentral
GUCCGCAAGGAUGAGUACAGUGGCGUACGGGUGAGUAAUACGUGGAUCAUCUACCUUUUAGUGGGGAAUACCGUUGGGAAACCGACGACGAUACCGCAUAAUCCCGAGAGGGGAAAGCAGCAAUGCGCUGAAAGAGGAGUCCGCGGCUGAUUAGCUAGUUGGCAGGGUAAUGGCCUACCAAGGCAACGAUCAGUAGCCGGCCUGAGAGGGCACACGGCCACACUGGCACUGAAACACGGGCCAGACUCCUACGGGAGGCAGCAGUGGGGAAUCUUGCACAAUGGGGGCAACCCUGAUGCAGCGACGCCGCGUGAGCGAUGAAGCCCUUCGGGGUGUAAAGCUCUUUCGGCAGGGAAGAUUAUGACGGUACCUGCAGAAGCAGCUGCGGCUAACUACGUGCCAGCAGCCGCGGUAAUACGUAGGCAGCAAGCGUUGUUCGGAGUUACUGGGCGUAAAGGGUGUGUAGGCGGUUCCCUAAGUUUGGUGUGAAAUCUCCCGGCUUAACCGGGAGGGUGCGCCGAAAACUGGGGAGCUAGAGUGUGGGAGAGGAAAGUGGAAUUCCUGGUGUAGCGGUGAAAUGCGUAGAUAUCAGGAGGAACACCUGCGGUGUAGACGGCUUUCUGGACCAUAACUGACGCUGAGACACGAAAGCGUGGGUAGCAAACAGGAUUAGAUACCCUGGUAGUCCACGCCCUAAACGAUGCAUAUUUGGUGUGGGCGAUUCAUUUCGUCCGUGCCGGAGCUAACGCGUUAAAUAUGCCGCCUGGGGAGUACAGUC